RNAcentral lists this ribosomal RNA (498 nucleotides) under uncultured bacterium. Its description in RNAcentral is "partial 16S ribosomal RNA". It matches the Rfam family "Bacterial small subunit ribosomal RNA", at positions 28 to 523 of the family's 1533-position model. The record is from RNAcentral.
GAUGAACGCUAGCGGCAGGCCUAAUACAUGCAAGUCGAGGGAGAAUGUUGGAUUCGUCUGACAUGAAACCGGCGCACGGGUGCGUAACACGUAUGCAACCUACCUUUAACUGGGGUAUAGCUCAGAGAAAUCUGAAUUAAUCCCCCAUAAGACUACGACAUGGCAUCAUGAUGUAGUUAAAGCUCCGGCGGUUAAGGAUGGGCAUGCGGUACAUUAGCUAGUUGGUGAGGUAAUGGCUCACCAAGGCUACGAUGUAUAGGGGGUCUGAGAGGAUGAUCCCCCACACUGGUACUGAGACACGGACCAGACUCCUACGGGAGGCAGCAGUAGGGAAUAUUGGUCAAUGGACGCAAGUUUGAACCAGCCAUGCCGCGUGAAGGAUGAAGGCCCUAUGGGUCGUAAACUUCUUUUAUUAGGGAAGAAAAAACGGGAUGCGUCCUGUACUGACGGUACUUAAUGAAUAAGGAUCGGCUAACUUCGUGCCAGCCGCCGCGGUAA